This 1391-nucleotide long non-coding RNA is filed under the name Sus scrofa (pig). RNAcentral describes it as "lncRNA (ENSSSCG00050011223.1)". The record is from RNAcentral. Lineage: Eukaryota; Metazoa; Chordata; Mammalia; Artiodactyla; Suidae.
AAUGCAAAGAUUCGUAGAUUUCUCUAAGCGUCUUAAAAGUUUAGCCUACAAGCAACUUGGAAGCCAUCAGAGACUUAAGCAAUGAAAUGUUGUGGCAGCUUUUUGUUUUGUUCUAUUUUUCCCUACAUGUAGAAGAUGCUGUAUGAGGAUUCUUUGCUGCCUUUUCCGCCAUCAGGUAUUUAAGAUCAUUUGGGAGAGCAGGUGCUUGAAGAUUAGCUCCGACAGAAGAGGGAGAUGUGGAUUGGUUGGAGUAGAGUAAAGGGUUUCCUGCAUCACAGCGGAUUUGCUGAGAUCCCACUCUUUUUGAAGAAAACUACUCUGGACCAAUGGAAAUGGUUAAACCAUAGGAUUAUAUUACUUUUCGUUUGUGGGCACAUCCAGGUGGAAAUAAGAACUUGCAUUCUUAUCAGCAGAAGGAAAAUUUUUAGCAUAUAGGAAGAACUAUUGUCAGCAUCUGUGGAAAAAGCCUUAGCUUUACUCCCCCAUGGAAGAAAGCCAACGAAAGCCGCCCCAUGAAUUUAACUUGAUAGAUGUUGAUUCUCUGCCUGAAGAAGAGAACCAAGCUGGGAAAGCUGGACUGGAAAGUAGGAAGAGUUUGCUUCCAUAAGACCAAUGGUCUGUCUGUGACAGACAGUGGCUCAGUUUUGACAAGCAUGUAGAGAGUACACACAUUGGCCGAAUCCUGCAUUGGAGGUCAGAGAUAUAAAGAUUUUAUGACUUGGAAUAACUGAAUCUCACUAUCUCGUCCCAACAUGACCCCAAAGAGAAUGACUUGACAGGGGUUAAAUGUAUGUUUGGGCUCUAAAGCUGUACAGAUCUAGAUUCAGAACAAGGUUUGCCACAGAAUCACUGUGUGACUUUGGACAGGGGAAAAGUAAAUCUAAGUAGAUGUUCUCAUGUUUCCCCACUUCACCCUAGUACACUACCUCAGUGUGCUGUGCUGGGGGAGAAUCUGCCUGGACUGCGUACUGGAGGAGUUUAAGGUCUUGGAGCCUACGUCAGGUGGAACAUGCCCAACUUACUGGUCACCAUUAUAAUCUCACCAGGAUACCAUAUGGUAUUACCUAUCCAAAAAAAAAGAAAAGAAUUAAAGAAUAAAGGCAAUGCAAAACGUUGGAGAGCCAAUCUGAAAUCAAUUGACAGGCAUGAACAUUUGUUAAUAACAUGAGUAUAAGCAGAUGGAGAAGGAAUUGUACUGAACAUUCUCCAAAUAUAGAAACAAUCUACUGGAGAAAGUCAGACAAACAUGGUGUGUCCAAAAAUCUGUUUCCGUCUUAAAGCUUGAGUCUUUAUGGAGUAAGAAUUUUCAAAUGACCCCUUGCUUAUUUUGCAAAACUAAGGUAAAGGCGUUAAUGUUACAGUGUAUGAAUUAAACUUCAAUUUUAAAAUAG